UCAAAAUGGGUUAAUAAUAUUCGGAAUGUACUUAUACCACCUCGAAAAAAGGUCGGAAGCAGUUUUGGCUCGCCCGCUAAUAGGAAACAUAGCUAUACCAGACGAGUCCUUGAGAGUAGACGAGGGAGCGAUUGCCCCCAACCCUCGUAAGCCGUGUGAUGUUCAUUAAUAUUAUGCAAAUUAUCCAUAAUUCUUAAGUACAAAUGCAACUGGUUCCAAAUGCCAUAAAGAUGAUUCCAGAUUUUAGAAAUACUGUAAUUAAAUCAAGAAUAAAACACUUCUCAUUUAUAAAUUUCAAUAAAUAUUCUCUCAAGGGUGAGAUAGAAUUAUGAAAAACUAAGUAUAA
Molecule: non-coding RNA, 346 nt
Organism: Cinara cedri
Lineage: Eukaryota; Metazoa; Arthropoda; Insecta; Hemiptera; Aphididae
Source: the annotation of a GenBank genome assembly